CCUACGGGAGGCAGCAGUGGGGAAUAUUGGACAAUGGGCGCAAGCCUGAUCCAGCCAUGCCGCGUGAGUGAUGAAGGCCUUAGGGUUGUAAAGCUCUUUCGUCAGGGAAGAUAAUGACGGUACCUGAAGAAGAAGCCCCGGCUAACUUCGUGCCAGCAGCCGCGGUAAU
Molecule: ribosomal RNA, 169 nt
Filed under: uncultured Pleomorphomonas sp.
Lineage: Bacteria; Pseudomonadati; Pseudomonadota; Alphaproteobacteria; Hyphomicrobiales; Pleomorphomonadaceae
Description: partial 16S ribosomal RNA
Rfam family: Bacterial small subunit ribosomal RNA
Source: RNAcentral